This 608-nucleotide long non-coding RNA is filed under the name Fukomys damarensis (Damara mole-rat). Its description in RNAcentral is "lncRNA (ENSFDAG00000032958.1)". Lineage: Eukaryota; Metazoa; Chordata; Mammalia; Rodentia; Bathyergidae. The record is from RNAcentral.
CAAUGAGCGCGGACCCAGCAGGACUUGCGGUCUGAAAGCUGAACCGGGUGAGAAACAAGUGUGGCAGAGUCCCUGGACACUCGGGGCUGGUAACACAGAACAGAGCUGGAACUCAAGGUCCCUCGGGCUCCUGUGAUCUUGGGGGAGUCAUUUGGAAGCGACUGUCAUAGAAAGCCACUACCUUAAGAGGUAUAGAGACAGAGCAAGGCAGACAGGAGCAGCUCCCCAGUGUCAGCACAUGCUCAAGGCAGGGGUAUUUCACAACCAUCCAAUGGCAUCAGAUCAGUGAAGGAGAGAAAAAGACUGAAGCACAAGGUUCAGCAGGUGUCUGCCAGACCCCGCGGUUGCCUUUGAUUUAGCUGCACCGGCGUCUCCACUCUCAGAGGUCUGUCCUGUCAUCCUCUACGAAGCCGAGGUGGGUUUAUGUGGUAACCUGAGCCAGGGCCAUUUCCUGCCCACUGACGACAGCACAUCUGUUAACGCUUGCCGUAGUGACCGCCAAAGCCACAUCAGGACUACGGAGCUGCUGAGCACACACAGAGCAGGAGCUGCCCAAAAGCAAAUGUCCUACAAGUUUCCAAAGUACGAAAAAGGAGCUGUAUUUCCAU